GAUGAAGAACGUAGCGAAAUGCGAUAAGUAGUGUGAAUUGCAGAAGUACCGUGAAUCAUCGAAUCUUUGAACGCAAAUUGCACUCUCUGGUAUUCCGGGGAGUAUGCCUGUUUGAGGGUCGCUUAACAAACCAUCGAUUUCGUUGCUUUUUUUUUUAAAGUGAUGUUUAUCGGAUUUGAGCCGUCUUUUUUUUAUAUUUUAGUGGCUUAAAAUUGAUUUUUUUGGUACGAUCGAAGCGUAUUUUUAUGAUCAAUUUUUGGUUAAAGAAACGCACACGUACCGUUAUUUAUAUGAUGUAAUACGUUUGACUAUUGGAUUUAGUUCAUUCGUAUACGAUAUCUUUCAAUAUUUGACCUCAAAUCAGGUAAGAACACCCGCUGAACUUAAGCAUAUCAAUAAGCGGAGGA
Molecule: unclassified non-coding RNA, 407 nt
Filed under: soil metagenome
Description: partial contains 5.8S ribosomal RNA, internal transcribed spacer 2, and large subunit ribosomal RNA
Rfam family: 5.8S ribosomal RNA (bases 1-121)
Source: RNAcentral